Molecule: small nuclear RNA, 191 nt
Organism: Syzygium oleosum
Lineage: Eukaryota; Viridiplantae; Streptophyta; Magnoliopsida; Myrtales; Myrtaceae
Product: U2 spliceosomal RNA
Exons: 1
Source: RefSeq, a predicted model, not a curated record
AUACCUUUCUCGGCCUUUUGGCUAAGAUCAAGUGUAGUAUCUGUUCUUAUCAGUUUAAUAUCUGAUACGUGGCCAUCCCGGUCCAUAUGAUAAAUGAAUUUUUUAGGGAGAGGCCGCCACAGUAGCUUGCUACUGGGCCUCUCGAGCGUCGCUUGGGCGUUGCACUGCAGCCCUUGCCUGGCGCGCCCCAC